This 478-nucleotide ribosomal RNA is filed under the name uncultured bacterium. Its description in RNAcentral is "bacterial SSU rRNA". It matches the Rfam family "Bacterial small subunit ribosomal RNA", at positions 33 to 507 of the family's 1533-position model. The record is from RNAcentral.
ACGCUGGCGGCGCGCCUAACACAUGCAAGUCGAACGAAGAACCUGUGGAAUGCGACUUCGGUCAAAUGAAGCUUGUUCUUAGUGGCGGACGGGUGAGUAACACGUGAGCAACCUGCCUUUCAGAGGGGGAUAACGUUUGGAAACGAACGCUAAUACCGCAUAACGUAUUCUUUGGGCAUCCUUAGAAUACCAAAGGAGCAAUCCGCUGAAUGAUGGACUCGCGUCUGAUUAGAUAGUUGGUGAGGUAACGGCCCACCAAGUCGACGAUCAGUAGCCGGACUGAGAGGUUGAACGGCCACAUUGGGACUGAGACACGGCCCAGACUCCUACGGGAGGCAGCAGUGGGGAAUAUUGCGCAAUGGGGGCAACCCUGACGCAGCAACGCCGCGUGAAGGAUGAAGGUCUUCGGAUUGUAAACUUUUGUCUUACGGGAAGAACAAGGACGGUACCAUAGGAGGAAGCCACGGCUAACUACGUG